AAUGCCUAGGAAUCUGCCCGAUAGUGGGGGACAACGUUUCGAAAGGAACGCUAAUACCGCAUACGUCCUACGGGAGAAAGUGGGGGAUCUUCGGACCUCACGCUAUCGGAUGAGCCUAGGUCGGAUUAGCUAGUUGGUGGGGUAAAGGCUCACCAAGGCGACGAUCCGUAACUGGUCUGAGAGGACGAUCAGUCACACUGGAACUGAGACACGGUCCAGACUCCUACGGGAGGCAGCAGUGGGGAAUAUUGGACAAUGGGCGAAAGCCUGAUCCAGCCAUGCCGCGUGUGUGAAGAAGGCCUUUUGGUUGUAAAGCACUUUAAGCGAGGAGGAGGCUACUGGUAUUAAUACUACUGGAUAGUGGACGUUACUCGCAGAAUAAGCACCGGCUAACUCUGUGCCAGCAGCCGCGGUAAUACAGAGGGUGCGAGCGUUAAUCGGAUUUACUGGGCGUAAAGCGUACGUAGGUGGUCUUUUAAGUCGGAUGUGAAAUCCCUGAGCUUAACUUAGGAAUUGCAUUCGAUACUGGGAGACUAGAGUAUGGGAGAGGAUGGUAGAAUUCCAGAUGUAGCGGUGAAAUGCGUAGAGAUCUGGAGG
Molecule: ribosomal RNA, 597 nt
Filed under: uncultured bacterium
Lineage: Bacteria
Description: bacterial SSU rRNA
Rfam family: Bacterial small subunit ribosomal RNA
Source: RNAcentral